Molecule: transfer RNA, 58 nt
Filed under: Salmo salar (Atlantic salmon)
Lineage: Eukaryota; Metazoa; Chordata; Actinopteri; Salmoniformes; Salmonidae
Rfam family: tRNA
About the family: Transfer RNA (tRNA) molecules are approximately 80 nucleotides in length.
Source: Rfam by way of RNAcentral
UGGCUCAGUUGGAAGAGCAUGGUGUUUGCAAUGCCAGGGUUGUGGGUUCGAUUCCCAU